RNAcentral lists this long non-coding RNA (743 nucleotides) under Malus domestica (apple). RNAcentral's name for it is "long non-coding RNA (MDOM_LNC006102)". Lineage: Eukaryota; Viridiplantae; Streptophyta; Magnoliopsida; Rosales; Rosaceae. The record is from RNAcentral.
AAAAAAAAAAAAAAAGCAAGGAUGGGAAAAGCAAAAGAAGCAAGUUUAUUAAAUUUUAUAGCAAAAUUGAUAAACAACAAGCAAAUACCGAAGGAGUUCAAGAAAAAGCAACAAAGGAAAGAAAAGGAAAUCCUAAAAACUACAUAGAAGACUACUCUUCAGUAGUUUGGACAUCUCCCAACUGCUCGGUCGUUACACCUUCAGCAGCCUUGGUGUUUUCAGCAGCGGCAUCCUCCGAAUCUUUACCUUCGACUGCUCCAGCCUGGGUAUCAACUCCUCCAACUAUUUCACCGAUAGAAGACUCAAAGGUAAAAGCGAGCAAGUCUUCUGGAGAAAUAGAGAAGGUCUCGAAGUCUUUACCGGAAAACUCAAAGUCAGACAGCCACCCAUAGAGAUGAUCUGCAUAGCCCAACUUGUAGAAAUCAGCUUGAUUCUAAAUAAGCAAAGCCUCGAAACCAUCCUUCUCACUCUUCAACUGCUCAUUCUCCUCAAGCAAGCAAGCACGAACCUGCUACAACUCCUCAAUUUCCUUCUUCAGAUUGUCGUUGGUCUUCAAAACACCUUGAAGUUCCGACACUUGAGGCUCAAGCCUGUCAACAACCUUUUUGAAGUGGAUCACUUGGUUGUAAGUAGCUGAUCGGAUCAUAUUUAUAUAUAUUUUUACUUCGAAUUCACUCGUCUUUUCUUAGUUAGUUCCUUACAUUUUUGAGCUAUUUACUAUGUUUUUGUAUUUUGUGUGAUUU